RNAcentral lists this ribosomal RNA (446 nucleotides) under uncultured bacterium. RNAcentral's name for it is "partial 16S ribosomal RNA". It matches the Rfam family "Bacterial small subunit ribosomal RNA", at positions 338 to 795 of the family's 1533-position model. The record is from RNAcentral.
CCUACGGGAGGCAGCAGUCGAGAAUCAUUCACAAUGGGGGAAACCCUGAUGCUGCGACGCCGCGUGGGGGAAUGACGGUCUUCGGAUUGUAAACCCCUGUCAUGUGGGAGCAAAUUAAAAUGAUAGUACCACAAGAGGAAGAGACCGCUAACUCUGUGGCAGCAGCCGCGGUAAUACAGCGGUCUCAAGCGUUGUUCGUAAUCACUGGGCGUAAAGGGUGCGGAGGCUGUUUUGUAAGUCGUAUGUGAAAGGCGCGGGCUCAACCCGUGAACUGAUCAUGAUACUGUGGGACUAGAGUAAAGGAGGGGUAACCGGAAUGCUCGGUGUAGCAGUGAAAUGCGUAGAGAUCGAGAGGAACACGAGUGGCGAAGGCGGGUUCCUGGACAUUAACUGACGCUGAGGCACGAAGGCGAGGGGAGCGAAAGGGAUUAGAUACCCUUGUAGUC